RNAcentral lists this ribosomal RNA (435 nucleotides) under Vibrio parahaemolyticus. Its description in RNAcentral is "bacterial SSU rRNA". It matches the Rfam family "Bacterial small subunit ribosomal RNA", at positions 1 to 422 of the family's 1533-position model. Lineage: Bacteria; Pseudomonadati; Pseudomonadota; Gammaproteobacteria; Vibrionales; Vibrionaceae. The record is from RNAcentral.
AAAUUGAAGAGUUUGAUCAUGGCUCAGAUUGAACGCUGGCGGCAGGCCUAACACAUGCAAGUCGAGCGGAAACGAGUUAUCUGAACCUUCGGGGGACGAUAACGGCGUCGAGCGGCGGACGGGUGAGUAAUGCCUAGGAAAUUGCCCUGAUGUGGGGGAUAACCAUUGGAAACGAUGGCUAAUACCGCAUGAUGCCUACGGGCCAAAGAGGGGGACCUUCGGGCCUCUCGCGUCAGGAUAUGCCUAGGUGGGAUUAGCUAGUUGGUGAGGUAAGGGCUCACCAAGGCGACGAUCCCUAGCUGGUCUGAGAGGAUGAUCAGCCACACUGGAACUGAGACACGGUCCAGACUCCUACGGGAGGCAGCAGUGGGGAAUAUUGCACAAUGGGCGCAAGCCUGAUGCAGCCAUGCCGCGUGUGUGAAGAAGGCCUUCGGG